Lactuca sativa (garden lettuce) is the source of this 733-nucleotide non-coding RNA. The record is from RefSeq and is a predicted model, not a curated record. Lineage: Eukaryota; Viridiplantae; Streptophyta; Magnoliopsida; Asterales; Asteraceae.
CCCAAAUCUUAUGCCAGCUGUCUUGCAAUGCUUAAUGGCCAUUGUUCAUCGUGCUUUUGAGACUGCAUUAUCAUGGCUGGAGGCUCAAAUAUGCGAGACAGGAGAUGCUGCUGAGGUCAGAGAGUCAACUCUGGCUGUCCAUGCUUGUUUUCUCAUAAAGAGUUUGUCUGUUAGAGAAGAACACAUUCGGGAUGUAUUUGUUAAUCUGUUGUCUCAAUUGAGAGAGAGAUUUCCACAGGUAAACUGUUGACAUGUAUUACAAAUUUAUGAGCUUUUAUAUGCUAUCUCCUGUAAAAAAUAAAUUACAUUACCUAUAAUGGUAAAAAGAGUAAAUGAUUUGCCCUUUACUUUAAGUAACAUUCUAUUGGGUGCAGAUUCUGUGGAAAUCAUCUUGUUUGGAUUCUCUUUUGUUCUCUGUGAAUGGUGAUCCACCUUCAUCUCUCAUGAAUGAUCCUGCUUCGGUAGCUUCUGUUCGCUCUUUGUACCAAAGCGUUGUCAAGGAGUGGAUUGUUGAUUCGCUAUCCUAUGCUCCAUGCACCACCCAAGGUCUUCUUCAGGAGCAACUUUGUAAAGCAAACACAUGGCAAAAAGCACAGCCCACUACAGACGUUGUCUCUCUUUUAUCUGAAAUAAAAAUAGGAACAGGGAAAACGGAUUGUUGGAAGGGUAAAAAAACUGCCAACAUUCCUGCAGUAAUGGCAUCUGUAGCUACUGCAUCGGGUGGAAAUUUGAA